AUGUCUGAGAGCCAGGAAACUGAUAGGAACAUUGAAAUCUGGAAGAUUAAAAAGCUAAUCAAGGCACUGGAGUCUGCUAGAGGCAAUGGCACAAGCAUGAUCUCCCUUAUUAUGCCUCCACGUGAUCAGGUUUCUCGAGUGGCGAAGAUGUUAGGCGACGAGUAUGGUACUGCUUCAAACAUCAAGAGUAGAGUCAAUCGUCAAUCAGUUUUGGGUGCCAUCACCUCAGCUCAACAGAGGCUGAAGCUUUACAACAGAGUUCCUCCCAAUGGUUUGGUUCUCUACACUGGAACCAUUGUUACUGAUGAUGGAAAGGAAAAGAAAGUUACUAUUGAUUUUGAGCCAUUCAAGCCUAUAAAUGUCUCACUUUACCUUUGUGAUAACAAGUUCCACACUGAGGCUUUAAAUGAGUUGUUGGAAUCUGAUGACAAGUUUGGCUUCAUUGUUAUGGAUGGUAAUGGUACACUUUUUGGCACACUAAGUGGAAAUACACGUGAGGUGCUUCACAAAUUUACUGUUGAUCUCCCAAAGAAGCAUGGUAGAGGAGGGCAUUCGGCUCUACGUUUUGCUCGUCUUCGGAUGGAAAAACGUCAUAACUAUGUCCGAAAAACUGCUGAGCUUGCUACUCAGUUUUUUUAUCAAUCCAGCUACAAGUCAGCCUAA
RNAcentral lists this ribosomal RNA (663 nucleotides) under Triticum aestivum (bread wheat). Its description in RNAcentral is "partial small subunit ribosomal RNA". Lineage: Eukaryota; Viridiplantae; Streptophyta; Magnoliopsida; Poales; Poaceae. The record is from RNAcentral.